GAUUCAGCGUAAGCCUUCCUUGAAGCGUAUCGUAUUGUCUUCUCGAAUUUCCUGUUCUUUCUCUUCUCUUUGUACCUUAAAACCCUAGCUUCUCGAUCGAUUGAACCACCCACUUGUGUUGCGUGGUAAUUCCCAUCUGGAACUGUUCCUACUUCAAGCGACGAUGAUGAAACCUGAAAUUUUUUAUUUUUUAAUUUCCGUUUAAUUUAUGAAAAUUUUGCAGUAAUUGAAGAAAAUGGAUUUCAAUUUUAAAGUACUUACGCUAUGACUGAGAGAUGAUUGAGUUUGAUAGCUGAAAGUAUCGAAACAAUUUCCAUCGUUGAUCAGUGGAAUGAUUGGUUUUGGAGUUUGAACUGGAACAACGCUAUCCAUGGCGGCAUCAUGAAGAUGUUGAGAUGAAUUCGGGUACCCGAAAUCGAUAAACGAAUCCAUUUCUGUGAAAAACGAAUCCCCUUUGUUAGAUUCAAUUUCUUGUUUACAAUUAGUACCAUUAUGAUCCGUCGUCGGCACAAGGAAGCUAAAAGGGGAAGAUUUGACUAUGGAAUCAGCGGAGUCGUAGAAAGGUUCGAUGGGUACACGUUCGUGACGGCGAGCCAGUGGGUUCGCUGAAUGGAUAUCGGCGUCGCAAGUGACACAAAGAGCCGCCGCGUCGGCUUUACAAGUGACAGCCGCCG
RNAcentral lists this long non-coding RNA (674 nucleotides) under Gossypium barbadense (sea-island cotton). RNAcentral's name for it is "long non-coding RNA (GBAR_LNC006805)". Lineage: Eukaryota; Viridiplantae; Streptophyta; Magnoliopsida; Malvales; Malvaceae. The record is from RNAcentral.